UAUAUAUAUAUAUAUAUAUAUAUAUUUGAGCUUCUAUGCUUUUAAAAGUAUCAAAUCAUUGGUGCUUGUAGAUUUUUAAUCAUUGAAUUAAGAGAUGUGCGGCUAGGAUGAUGUGGGCCCUCUAGGGUUGAGUGGGUGAUUAGUUGAAUAGUAUAAUUUAAUGAUUGAAAGUGAUCCGAAGAAUAGAUCUAACAGUAAAAAACUUAGUGCUUUUACAAGCACCAUAGCUGGACUCUAUAUAUAUAUAUAUACAACAAAAAAAAAAAGAAACUGACGAUGAGAAAAUAAUGAUAAGAAAUAGAAUUCAUCUUGCUGAUAAAUAAAAAUAACAGUCGAAAAGAAAGAAAGGGGAAGGACUUGAGCUGACUUGGGAUGGAAUCUACGCUCAACAAUGAAGGAAAAGUUGUCAUGUGGUAAUUUUAAAAAUAAUAAUUUAAAAAAUAUAG
This 446-nucleotide long non-coding RNA is filed under the name Ananas comosus (pineapple). Its description in RNAcentral is "long non-coding RNA (ACOM_LNC032362)". Lineage: Eukaryota; Viridiplantae; Streptophyta; Magnoliopsida; Poales; Bromeliaceae. The record is from RNAcentral.